AAACUUUCAACAACGGAUCUCUUGGCUCUGGCAUCGAUGAAGAACGCAGCGAAAUGCGAUAAGUAAUGUGAAUUGCAGAAUUUAGUGAAUCAUCGAAUCUUUGAACGCACAUUGCGCCCCUUGGUAUUCCGAGGGGCAUGCCUGUUCGAGCGUCAUAACACCCCCUCCAGCUGCCUUUGUGUGGCUGCGGUGUUGGGGCUCGUCGC
This 206-nucleotide ribosomal RNA is filed under the name Erysiphe pisi. RNAcentral's name for it is "5.8S ribosomal RNA". The stretch from base 2 to 155 matches the Rfam family "5.8S ribosomal RNA". Rfam says of the family: 5.8S ribosomal RNA (5.8S rRNA) is a component of the large subunit of the eukaryotic ribosome. It is transcribed by RNA polymerase I as part of the 45S precursor that also contains 18S and 28S rRNA. Functionally, it is thought that 5.8S rRNA may be involved in ribosome translocation. Lineage: Eukaryota; Fungi; Ascomycota; Leotiomycetes; Helotiales; Erysiphaceae. The record is from RNAcentral.